AUUGAACGCUGGCGGCAUGCCUUACACAUGCAAGUCGAACGGUAACAGGUUAAGCUGACGAGUGGCGAACGGGUGAGUAAUGUAUCGGAACGUGCCCAGUCGUGGGGGAUAACUGCUCGAAAGAGCAGCUAAUACCGCAUACGACCUGAGGGUGAAAGCGGGGGAUCGCAAGACCUCGCUCGAUUGGAGCGGCCGAUAUCAGAUUAGGUAGUUGGUGAGGUAAAGGCUCACCAAGCCGACGAUCUGUAGCUGGUCUGAGAGGACGACCAGCCACACUGGGACUGAGACACGGCCCAGACUCCUACGGGAGGCAGCAGUGGGGAAUUUUCGACAAUGGGCGCAAGCCUGAUCCAGCCAUGCCGCGUGAGGGAAGGAGGCCUUCGGGUUGUAAACCGCUUUUGUCAGGGAAGAAAAGGUUCUGGCUAAUACCUGGGACUCAUGACGGUACCUGAAGAAUAAGCACCGGCUAACUACGUG
Molecule: ribosomal RNA, 477 nt
Filed under: uncultured bacterium
Lineage: Bacteria
Description: partial 16S ribosomal RNA
Rfam family: Bacterial small subunit ribosomal RNA
Source: RNAcentral